Eurytemora carolleeae is the source of this 450-nucleotide long non-coding RNA. RefSeq lists it as uncharacterized. The record is from RefSeq and is a predicted model, not a curated record. The transcript is spliced from 2 exons. Lineage: Eukaryota; Metazoa; Arthropoda; Copepoda; Calanoida; Temoridae.
AUAUCCUAGUCUUUUUUUUGUAUCUUUAUCAUUAUUUUGUUUUCUAAAUUUGUGAAGAAAUAUUUUUGUGAUAUUUUUCUAACUAAACAUAAAGUGCCAUUUAUGGCCGGCAGAAUUUUUUAAAUUAAAAUCUAGUCAGGAAAACGGUUGUAUGUUUUAUUACUCUGCCUGGCUUGGUGAUGGGCCCAAAUUAACCAGAUGAAUUAUGAAAUCAAUUUAAAAAGAAAGUAUGUGUGUUUGCUGGUAUUCUGGUAAAAGGUUACUAGUAUAUUGUUAAGAUAAAAUUAAAGUAAUUAACUGUUAACAUGUUAAUCAUAAAAUCGCACCUUUAAAGGGACUGUAUACUCCCUUUAAUAAAUGUUAAAUGUAUGUUGGGGUGUAACCAAUACUAUGUAUUGUAAGUAAAUAAAUGUGAGGGAAGAUCCCUAAAUAAAUAUUUUGUAACCUAAA